This 1243-nucleotide ribosomal RNA is filed under the name metagenome. RNAcentral describes it as "bacterial LSU rRNA". It matches the Rfam family "Bacterial large subunit ribosomal RNA", at positions 1564 to 2817 of the family's 2925-position model. The record is from RNAcentral.
UGAAUACGAGACGCUAAGGCGUCGAAGUAGUGUAUGUCAUACUUCCAAGAAAAGCUUGCACUGUCAUAGAUAAAAACGCCUGUACCAUAACCGACACAGGUGGGUAGGUAGAGUAUACUAAGGGGCGCGAGAUAACUCUCUCUAAGGAACUCGGCAAAAUAACUCCGUAACUUCGGGAGAAGGAGUGCCUUAUUCGUAAGGUUGCAAUAACAAGAUCCAAGCAACUGUUUAUCAAAAACACAGGUCUCCGCUAAGUCGUAAGACGAUGUAUGGGGGCUGACGCCUGCCCAGUGCCAGAAGGUUAAAGAAGUUGGUUAGCAAUUGCGAAGCUGAUAACUGAAGCCCUGGUGAACGGCGGCCGUAACGAUAACGGUCCUAAGGUAGCGAAAUUCCUUGUCGGGUAAGUUCCGACCCGCACGAAAGGCGUAAUGAUUUGGAUACUGUCUCGGAGAGGGGCUCGGUGAAAUAGACUUGUCUGUGAAGAUGCGGACUACCUGCACCAGGACAGAAAGACCCUAUGAAGCUUUACUGUAACUUGAAAUUGAAAUUGGACUUUAUUCGCGCAGUAUAGGUGGGAGGCGUUGAUUAUAAUCUCGUGGGAUUAUUGGAGCCAUCAGUGAGAUACCACUCUUGUAAUGUUAGAUUUCUAACUUUGAAUCAUUAUCUGGUCAAAGAACAGUUUCAGGCGGGCAGUUUGACUGGGGCGGUCGCCUCCUAAACGGUAACGGAGGCGUACAAAGGUUUCCUCUGAACGGUUAGAAAUCGUAUCUAGAGUGUAAAGGCAUAAGGAAGCUUGACUGUGAGACCUACAAGUCGAGCAGGGACGAAAGUCGGUCUUAGUGAUCUGACGGUACUGAGUGGAAAGGCCGUCACUCAACGGAUAAAAGUUACUCUAAGGAUAACAGGCUGAUCUCCCCCAAGAGUUCACAUCGACGGGGAGGUUUGGCACCUCGAUGUCGGCUCAUCGCAUCCUGGGGCGGUAGUACGUCCCAAGGGUUGGGCUGUUCGCCCAUGAAAGCGGUACGCGAGCUGGGUUCAGAACGUCGUGAGACAGUUCGGUCCAUAUCCAGUGUAGGCGUUAGAAUAUUGAGAGGAGCCUUCUUUAGUACGAGAGGACCGAGAAGGACAUACCUCUGGUGUACCAGUUAUCGUGCCAACGGUAAACGCUGGGUAGCUAUGUAUGGAGUGGAUAACCGCUGAAAGCAUCUAAGUGGGAAGCCCACCUCAAGAUAAGUAUUCUCAU